RNAcentral lists this ribosomal RNA (528 nucleotides) under Triticum aestivum (bread wheat). RNAcentral's name for it is "partial small subunit ribosomal RNA". The record is from RNAcentral. Lineage: Eukaryota; Viridiplantae; Streptophyta; Magnoliopsida; Poales; Poaceae.
AUGGCGACGUCCGGCGGCGGCGCCGUGAACAUAAGUGCCGCCUGCUGCUCGUCGCUGAACCAGGCGCUCGACGCCGGCCGCCGCUGCCUGUGCUCGCUGCCGCUGGCCAACGGCGUGCUCGCCGGCCUCAUCGCCACCCUCAUCCCCACGCUCCCCAUGGUGCUGCCGCUGCCCGGGUGCUACCUCUACGCGCCUCCUCUGGCGACCUGCCAAGUGACGUUGCUGCAGACGGACUAUGAUGCGCCGCCGGCAUCGCCAUCUGUGACUGCGAGCGUGGGGGAUGCUGGUGGUGGCGCGGUGGAUCCGCCGCCACCACCGACCGCGGUAAUGCCGCCGUGGAAGAAUGCUAGUGCGGCUGGGACGAAGGAUGGUGGGACGACGGACAGGAGCGCCGGCAAUGGAUCUAGGGAGGCUAGGGAGGAGCAGAGCGUUAGAAGGAGCGACGCGUGCCGGCGGCCCGGCGUUGGUGAGGGUAGGAUGUACAUGCUGAUCUUUGCGGUGGUCAUGGCUGUAUUUUUGUUCGAUUAA